This 74-nucleotide transfer RNA is filed under the name Leptospira sp. Its description in RNAcentral is "tRNA-Asp". It matches the Rfam family "tRNA". From Rfam's summary of the family: Transfer RNA (tRNA) molecules are approximately 80 nucleotides in length. Their secondary structure includes four short double-helical elements and three loops (D, anti-codon, and T loops). The record is from RNAcentral. Lineage: Bacteria; Pseudomonadati; Spirochaetota; Leptospiria; Leptospirales; Leptospiraceae. RNAcentral also lists the same sequence under 1 other name.
GGAGUUGUAGCUCAGCUGGUUAGAGUGCCUGCCUGUCACGCAGGAUGUCGCGGGUUCGAGUCCCGUCAACUCCG